Molecule: long non-coding RNA, 477 nt
Organism: Chinchilla lanigera (long-tailed chinchilla)
Lineage: Eukaryota; Metazoa; Chordata; Mammalia; Rodentia; Chinchillidae
Exons: 3
Source: RefSeq, a predicted model, not a curated record
AGUCAGAGGGGAGGUCACAGGCCGCCUGUGAUGUUGCAAAGGACUUUCAGUUCCAGGCCCCAGAAUAGACCUGAGAUGUGUGUUCGCAAGUGCUGAGCCAUCUGGACAGCCCCUGCCCAGCGCUCCACACGCUGCACAGCACACAGCUCCAGUGUCUCUCAACUUCUCCAUCACCAGUAUUGUUCAAGAGGCAUUUCCCAAAUAGAUGCUGCUUUUAGAAAUAACUAUGGCUUCAGUUACAGAGUUCCAGUCACUUUUUUUUUUGGUACCGGGAAUCGAACUCAUGACCUCAGGCUUGCCAGUGGAAAAAUCCUCAGGGCUGAAGGGAAGAUGGGCCAGAGGAGCUCAGCUGAGGAAACGCAGCGCUGGAGCAGGUGGGAUGUGCAUGAGGGUGAGCAGAUGUGACCACCAGCCCAGCCCAGGAAGCCAUGCAGGAGUACCAGGAAUUGAACUCACGACCUCGCACUGGCCAGGAAG